UGAUGCAGCCAUGCCGCGUGUGUGAAGAAGGCCUUCGGGUUGUAAAGCACUUUCAGUAGGGAGAAGGUAGUGUAGUUAACACCUGCAUUAUUUGACGUUACCUACAGAAGAAGCACCGGCUAACUCCGUGCCAGCAGCCGCGGUAAUACGGAGGGUGCGAGCGUUAAUCGGAAUUACUGGGCGUAAAGCGCAUGCAGGCGGCCUGUUAAGUCAGAUGUGAAAGCCCGGGGCUUAACCUCGGAAUUGCAUUUGAAACUGGCAGGCUAGAGUCUUGUAGAGGGGGGUAGGAAUUUCAGGUGUAGCGGUGAAAUGCGUAGAGAUCUGAAGGAAUACCAGUGGCGAAGGCGGCCCCCUCGGACAAAGACUGACGCUCAGAUGCGAAAGCGUGGGGAGCAAACAGGAUUAGAUACCCUGGUAG
Molecule: ribosomal RNA, 418 nt
Filed under: uncultured bacterium
Lineage: Bacteria
Description: bacterial SSU rRNA
Rfam family: Bacterial small subunit ribosomal RNA
Source: RNAcentral